UACGGAGGAUGCAAGCGUUAUCCGGAAUGAUUGGGCGUAAAGCGUCCGCAGGUGGCAAUGUAAGUCUGCUGUCAAAGCGUCUAGCUCAACCAGAUAAAGGCAGUGGAAACUACAUAGCUAGAGUAAGGUAGGGGUAGAGGGAAUUCCUGGUGUAGCGGUGAAAUGCGUAGAGAUCAGGAAGAACACCAGUGGCGAAGGCGCUCUACUGGGCCGUAACUGACACUGAGGGACGAAAGCUAGGGGAGCGAAAGGG
RNAcentral lists this ribosomal RNA (253 nucleotides) under uncultured bacterium. RNAcentral's name for it is "partial 16S ribosomal RNA". It matches the Rfam family "Bacterial small subunit ribosomal RNA", at positions 524 to 776 of the family's 1533-position model. The record is from RNAcentral.